This is a long non-coding RNA of Tympanuchus pallidicinctus (lesser prairie-chicken), 869 nucleotides long. RefSeq lists it as uncharacterized. NCBI's taxonomy places the organism in Eukaryota, Metazoa, Chordata, Aves, Galliformes, Phasianidae. The transcript is spliced from 5 exons. The record is from RefSeq and is a predicted model, not a curated record.
CCCCCUGCACAACCCCUCGCUGCCCAAGCCCUUGGCUGAGGCUCAUCACGUCUUCCUGUUUAUUUCUGAUGAGAGCAAUGACCGCGUCUGCAGGGCGCAUCCCAGCCUUGUGUGCUCACAGCCACAUCCAGCUGGACCCAGCUGUCCCCCGAGGGGAUGCCACGUAUCCCCCCAGCCAUUGGGAUCCGUUGGGGUGUUGUUUUCCUUCGUCCUUGGACUCCCCAGCACAAUGGCUGUGCUCAGCCCCAGCGGCUGUGCGACGCCUCUGUGUGGAACGAGAUUUAAAGCGGCGCAGCAAAUAGGUGAUAGAAAAACCAAACUCUAUUAAAAACCCAUUUUCUGCAGGCUGCUGGCAGCUGGCUGAGCAGAGGCAGGAAGGAGGCUGUGAGCACUGAGACAUGAGCUGCCGAUGGCUGUGGGAUGGGCACACGCUGGCAGCACCGAGGACUUAACGCUGCUCAGCCCUGGAAACAACGCUAUCCGUUUCAAUUAGAGCAAGCAGGGAAGCGGCUAUUAAGUGCUUCGUUAUUAUGGUCUUCUCCCAUCCGUGACAUGAAAGAUGAAGACAAUGGUGGCUCCAGCAGUGCAGUGCCUCUCUCUCAUCCCAGAGGUGGAGAGGAAUCGCUUAUGAUGACACGGCUGUGGGCGUGCAGCUGCCUCAGCCCCCCCCUUUGCCCAAAUCUUCGGCACCCCCAGCGCAGGGCAGUGAGCAGCAGUGACAGUGGUGCACAUGGAACCCAUCCUCCACCACCACCAUCCCCGUGCCACCGUGGGAGUGCUGGGGACAGCGUGUCCCGUGCUAGCGAUCACGCUCAGCUCUGCUGUCAUUGCUGCUGCCUGAGCCCCGGCAAUGCUUAUGAAUAAAUGAA